RNAcentral lists this ribosomal RNA (305 nucleotides) under uncultured bacterium. Its description in RNAcentral is "bacterial SSU rRNA". It matches the Rfam family "Bacterial small subunit ribosomal RNA", at positions 333 to 653 of the family's 1533-position model. The record is from RNAcentral.
GGCAUCCUACGGGGGGCAGCAGUGAGGAAUAUUGGUCAAUGGGCGGAAGCCUGAACCAGCCAAGUCGCGUGAGGGAAUAAGGCUUUCGGGUUGUAAACUUCUUUUAAGAGGGAAGAGCAGAAGACGGUACCUCUUGAAUAAGCCACGGCUAACUACGUGCCAGCAGCCGCGGUAAUACGUAGGUGGCAAGCGUUGUCCGGAUUUACUGGGUGUAAAGGGCGUGCAGCCGGGAAGACAAGUCAGAUGUGAAAUCCCGCGGCUCAACCGCGGAACUGCAUUUGAAACUGUUUUUCUUGAGUACCGGA